Molecule: ribosomal RNA, 252 nt
Filed under: uncultured prokaryote
Description: partial 16S ribosomal RNA
Rfam family: Bacterial small subunit ribosomal RNA
Source: RNAcentral
CAGAGGGUGCAAACGUUGUUCGGAAUUACUGGGCGUAAAGCGAGUGUAGGCGGUCUGAAAAGUCGGGUGUGAAAGCCCCGGGCUCAACCCGGGAAGUGCACUCGAAACUGCCAGGCUAGAGUAUCGGAGAGGUUGGUGGAAUUCUCGGUGUAGAGGUGAAAUUCGUAGAUAUCGAGAGGAACACCGGUGGCGAAGGCGGCCAACUGGACGAAUACUGACGCUGAGACUCGAAAGCGUGGGGAGCAAACAGGA